This is a long non-coding RNA of Homarus americanus (American lobster), 607 nucleotides long. RefSeq lists it as uncharacterized. The transcript is spliced from 4 exons. NCBI's taxonomy places the organism in Eukaryota, Metazoa, Arthropoda, Malacostraca, Decapoda, Nephropidae. The record is from RefSeq and is a predicted model, not a curated record.
UUUACAACAAUAAACUGUAUUUUACCAGUCUUUCUUAAUGUAAUGUUUAUCGAAGAAGGAAUAUUGAGGUCUCUGGGUUAUAUUAUAGGUACUUUUUUUUUAAGAUGGAGGCGUCUCGUAUAACUUGGGAGAGGAACUGACUGACUCACUCCACCCUCGUCGGAGUCAUCGCUAUUCUGGCCAGGAGCAGUAACACGCGUCCCUGACAACAUGAAGCUUGGCCCGAGACGUCACCAGCAGGGUUAACAUUGACGUCUGGUAAGCGUGAGGCGAGAGGUGGACCUGUGUGGUGUGAGGCGGGACAAGGAGUACGUGUGUGUUAAUUAACGUUGAGGGCGAGAUGGAGGUGUAGCCGCGAGGACACAGGUAAGACCGCACCACACCUGUCCACAAAGGAGCGCCACCACAAGCAAAAAAAAACAGGCAAUAGUUCGUCUGGCGUAAGAAUAUUUGUGUUGGAGGAGCAGUGUACCUCUCUCUCUGUUUACUGUAUGGUGAGUACUCGACCAGAACCUGCAUACUCGACCAGAACUUGCAUACUCGACCAGAAUUUGUAUACUCGACCAGAAUAUGUAUACUCGACCAGAAUAAACAGCUGUUAUUAUGA